This 67-nucleotide transfer RNA is filed under the name Pogonostoma subtiligrossum. RNAcentral describes it as "tRNA-Ser". It matches the Rfam family "tRNA". Rfam says of the family: Transfer RNA (tRNA) molecules are approximately 80 nucleotides in length. Lineage: Eukaryota; Metazoa; Arthropoda; Insecta; Coleoptera; Carabidae. The record is from RNAcentral.
AGUUAAUGAACUUGUCAAGUAUAUGUUUUGAAAGCAUAAAAAAGAAGUUAUAAUCUUCUAUUAACUU